GUUGGUUUUUUACAUUUCAAACACGCUAUAUUAAAAAAAAUAUGAUGUACAUAGUUCAUAUUUAACAUCGUUCAGGUUGCUGUUCUUUAAAUGAAUUUUGAUUAGAGUUUCUGAAUGAGAUGCUGAAACAAUGUGAAAGUUGGGUAUUCUUUACUUUCAUGUGUUGUGAUGCAACAUAUCGGCACAUGGUGGUCAACUCUAAAAGGAAACACAGUUCCUGGUGUGAGUAAAUUUUUCACUAUAUGUCUUGACCUCAUGUUUGCUGGCGAAUACAUGCAAUUUAGCCUCAUUUGCUCGCUCCCGAAGUC
Non-coding RNA from Paramuricea clavata, 308 nucleotides. Lineage: Eukaryota; Metazoa; Cnidaria; Anthozoa; Malacalcyonacea; Plexauridae. The record is from the annotation of a GenBank genome assembly.